CCCAUCGUUAUCACUCUUCGUAGACAUGAUCCGCCACUACGUGUCCAUCCUGCUGGAGAGCGACAAGAAGCUCACCCAGGAACAAGUAUCUGACAGGGGACGAGGCACCCACAGUCCCUCUCCCAUAAGCCUGCCAAGAAGAUUGAUGUGGCCCGUGUAACCUUUGACCUGUACAAGCUGAACCCACAGGACUUCAUUGGCUGCCUGAACAUGAAGGCGACUUUUUAUGAUACGUACUCCCUUUCCUAUGAUCUGCACUGCUGUGGGGCCAAACGCAUCAUGAAGGAAGCUCUCCACUGGGCCCUUUUCAGCAUGCAAGCCACGGGCCACGUGCUGCUUCACCUCCUGUUACCUGCAGCAGCUCCUCGAUGCCACAGAGGACGGGCAUCCCCCCAAGGGCAAGGCCUCAUCCCUCAUCCCGACCUGUCUGAAGAUACUGCAGUGAAAGCCCAAGCCCUAGCUUUCCCCAGUGAAGGACUAGACUAGGGGCCCCACGCUCAACUGGUAGUGGCCACAAGCCUGGCAGCUGUAGAGCCGCUAACCUCCCGACACCUCCCUCACCACACAGGACCCUGAGUGAGGAGGAGGGGCUGGAAACCUGGGAUGGGUUGGCCAAAGGAGAACCUCAGGCUCCUGGCCUGGCCCAGCUCCUUCCUGCCCAAGGUAGCUUAGCCCAUCCAGACUGGUCCUGAAGUCUGUCCCUCCAUUGGCAUGAAGUCUGCCCCUCAGCAGUCCGGCCUCACAGGCUGUACUUUCAUGGUGCUCUCUACCUUCUGGCCCCCAUCCCAGAACAUUCGUGAGUG
Molecule: RNA transcript, 803 nt
Organism: Homo sapiens (human)
Lineage: Eukaryota; Metazoa; Chordata; Mammalia; Primates; Hominidae
Gene: CIDECP1
Gene name: CIDEC pseudogene 1
Exons: 3
Source: RefSeq, marked validated